This 792-nucleotide ribosomal RNA is filed under the name uncultured archaeon. Its description in RNAcentral is "bacterial SSU rRNA". It matches the Rfam family "Archaeal small subunit ribosomal RNA", at positions 85 to 879 of the family's 1478-position model. The record is from RNAcentral.
ACGGCUCAGUAACACGUGGGUAACCUAACCUAUGCGGGGGAAUAACCUCGGGAAACUGAGAAUAAUACCCCAUAGUCCACUACGCCUGGAACGGUGAGUGGAUGAAAGCUCAGGCGGCAUAGGAUGGGCCUGCGGCGUAUCAGGUUGUAGGGGGUGUAAAGUACCCUCUAGCCCUCUACGCGUACGGGUGUUGGGAGACAUAGCCCGGAGAUGGAUUCUGAGACACGAAUCCAGACCCUACGGGGUGCAGCAGGCGCGAAAACUUGGCAAUGCGAGCAAUCGUGACCAGGGAACUCCAAGUGGCUGGGGUAAGACCCAGUCUUUUCAGAACUCUUCAAAGGUUUUAGAAUAAGGGGUGGGUAAGGACGGUGCCAGCCGCCGCGGUAAUACCGGCGCCUCAAGUGGUAGUCGCUUUUAUUGGGCCUAAAACGUCCGUAGCCGGUUUGGUACAUUCGUGGGUAAAUCAACUCGCUCAACGAGUUGAAUUCUGCGAGGACGGCCAGACUUGGGACCGGGAGAGGUGUGGGGUACUCUCAGGGUAGGGGUAAAAUCCUGUCAUCCUGAGAGGACCACCUGUUGCGAAGGCGCCACACUAGAACGGAUCCGACGGUCAGGGACGAAGCCUAGGGGCACGAACCGGAUUAGAUACCCGGGUAGUCCUAGGUGUAAACGCUGUGGACUUGAUGUUGGAGGAGCUCCGAGCUCUUUCAGUGUCGAAGCGAAGGUGAUAAGUCCACUGCCUGGGAAGUACGGUCGCAAGGCUGAAACUUAAAGGAAUUGGCGGGGGAGCAC